AGCCCGUUCCGCAGGAGGACGACGAAAGGGAUGCCUAGAGACUCUGUAGUCAUACUCAUAGCUUUAUUUUCGAGUUUCUCUUUUAGUUAGUUUAAUCUUUUAUAUUUUAAGCACGUUUUUAGUUUUCGUGUAAGGGAUAUUAAAUGAAAUUUUGAUCUCGCUUCCGCAUUUGAUAUAUUUAAAUACUCAUUUCAUUUUAAU
This 201-nucleotide long non-coding RNA is filed under the name Carica papaya (papaya). RNAcentral's name for it is "long non-coding RNA (CPAP_LNC007261)". Lineage: Eukaryota; Viridiplantae; Streptophyta; Magnoliopsida; Brassicales; Caricaceae. The record is from RNAcentral.